Molecule: ribosomal RNA, 468 nt
Filed under: uncultured bacterium
Lineage: Bacteria
Description: partial 16S ribosomal RNA
Rfam family: Bacterial small subunit ribosomal RNA
Source: RNAcentral
GACGAACGCUGGCGGCGUGCUUAACACAUGCAAGUCGAACGGAAAGGCCCUGCUUUUGUGGGGUGCUCGAGUGGCGAACGGGUGAGUAACACGUGAGUAACCUGCCCUUGACUUUGGGAUAACUUCAGGAAACUGGGGCUAAUACCGGAUAGGAGCUCCUGCUGCAUGGUGGGGGUGGGAAAUUUUCGGCGGUUGGGGAUGGACUCGCGGCUUAUCAGCUUGUUGGUGGGGUAGUGGCUUACCAAGGCUUUGACGGGUAGCCGGCCUGAGAGGGUGACCGGCCACAAUGGGACUGAGAUACGGCCCAGACUCCUACGGGAGGCAGCAGUGGGGAAUAUUGCACAAUGGGCGGAAGCCUGAUGAAGAAACGCCGCGUGCGGGAUGACGGCCUUUGGGGUGUAAACCGCUUCCGCCUGUGACGAAGCGGGAGUGACGGUAAUGGGUAAAGAAGCACCGGCUAACUACGUG